UACGUAGGGUGCAAGCGUUAAUCGGAAUUACUGGGCGUAAAGCGUGCGCAGGCGGUCUGUUAAGACCGAUGUGAAAUCCCCGGGCUUAACCUGGGAACUGCAUUGGUGACUGGCAGGCUUUGAGUGUGGCAGAGGGAGGUAGAAUUCCACGUGUAGCAGUGAAAUGCGUAGAGAUGUGGAGGAAUACCGAUGGCGAAGGCAGCCUCCUGGGCCAACACUGACGCUCAUGCACGAAAGCGUGGGGAGC
Molecule: ribosomal RNA, 247 nt
Filed under: uncultured bacterium
Lineage: Bacteria
Description: partial 16S ribosomal RNA
Rfam family: Bacterial small subunit ribosomal RNA
Source: RNAcentral